Long non-coding RNA from Dreissena polymorpha, 1015 nucleotides. RefSeq lists it as uncharacterized. Lineage: Eukaryota; Metazoa; Mollusca; Bivalvia; Myida; Dreissenidae. The record is from RefSeq and is a predicted model, not a curated record. The transcript is spliced from 2 exons.
CAAGGUCAUCCUUCAAGGUCAGAGGUAAAACAUAUUUGUCCCAAAUCGCUUAUUUUAUUAAUACUUUUGAAAUAUUGAAGAUAGCAACUUGAUAUUUGGCAUGCAUGUGUAUCUCAUGGAGCUGCACAAUUUGAGUGGUGAAAGGUCAAGGUCAUCCUUCAAGGUCAAGGUCAUCCUUAAAGGUCAAAUAUAUGGGUCAAAAUUGCUCAUGUAAUGUCACUUCUGCAAUAUUGAAGCUAGCAAUUUUAUAUUUGAAAUGCAUGUGUAUCUCAUGGAGCUGCACAUUUUGAGUGGUGAAGGGUCAAGGUCAUCCUUCAAGGUCAAACAUUAUUUAGGGGGACAUUGUGUUUCACAAACGCAUCUUGUUUCAAAUUAUCUUUAUUCAACAACAUUUUGUAUAACGAUAAAACAACUCACUCUUAGAGAUACGUCUAGUAGUGAUGCACUGCUUUCAACCAACAAACCAUCUGCCUCGUUCUCGAAACUCAAGUCUGGUGAACGGUUAUCUGACAUUUCCUCAGUUUCUGGUGUGGAAUUCGUCUCAUCUGCUUCAGGGCCAUUUUCCAGAGUCUGUAAGGUAAACAAAUAAAAUUAAAUCAGCACAUCAAAGACCUAGAAAUACACAUACUUUUUCAAACUAACAUGAAAGAAUGAUGUUCAGAUACGUAAUAUUUAUGCUUCUGUAUCAUGUUGUAAACACCGUCAGAUUCUAUACCGAUAGAGUAACUGACCCAUGUUCAUUCUUGAAACCUCGUAUAGCCUAGUGGCAACAUAUCCGCUUCAAAAUAUCAGAUACCAUUGGUUCGAUCCUCGGCUGUGAGCUACAUAAAAUAAAUCAUGAACUGUGCCAUGGGUAUGUCUGCCAUUAUCCCAUGCUUGAUUGUACCACAAGGAAUCACUGAUUUGAAUAGUAAGCUCGAUUUAAUAAUCCAUCGGAAUCGUUUUAAGGUGAUAAUCUGAUUACACGCAGUGCGCAAUCUGAUUAUGUGAUGACUUAAAUUAGUAUAAGUAUUAA